UACAGAGGUGGCAAGCGUUGUUCGGAAUUACUGGGCGUAAAGGGCGCGUAGGCGGCCAUCUAAGUCAGACGUGAAAUCCCCCGGCUUAACCUGGGAACUGCGUCUGAUACUGGAAGGCUUGAGUAUGGGAGAGGGAUGUAGAAUUCCAGGUGUAGCGGUGAAAUGCGUAGAUAUCUGGAGGAAUACCGGUGGCGAAGGCGGCAUCCUGGACCAUUACUGACGCUGAGGCGCGAAAGCUAGGGGAGCAAAC
RNAcentral lists this ribosomal RNA (250 nucleotides) under uncultured bacterium. Its description in RNAcentral is "partial 16S ribosomal RNA". It matches the Rfam family "Bacterial small subunit ribosomal RNA", at positions 524 to 773 of the family's 1533-position model. The record is from RNAcentral.